UCUCGUUAAAUAGUAACUAAU
This is a non-coding RNA of Caenorhabditis elegans, 21 nucleotides long. The record is from Ensembl. NCBI's taxonomy places the organism in Eukaryota, Metazoa, Nematoda, Chromadorea, Rhabditida, Rhabditidae.